AAGCCGGAAUCGCUAGUAAUCGCGGAUCAGAAUGCCGCGGUGAAUACGUUCCCGGGUCUUGUACACACCGCCCGUCACACCAUGGGAGUCGGGAAUGCCCGAAGUCAGUGGCCCAACCGGAAGGGGGGAGCUGCCGAAGGCAGGCCCGGUGACUGGGGUGAAGUCGUAACAAGGUAAC
RNAcentral lists this ribosomal RNA (178 nucleotides) under uncultured bacterium. RNAcentral describes it as "partial 16S ribosomal RNA". It matches the Rfam family "Bacterial small subunit ribosomal RNA", at positions 1323 to 1500 of the family's 1533-position model. The record is from RNAcentral.